Molecule: ribosomal RNA, 756 nt
Filed under: uncultured bacterium
Lineage: Bacteria
Description: bacterial SSU rRNA
Rfam family: Bacterial small subunit ribosomal RNA
Source: RNAcentral
AGAGUUUGAUCAUGGCUCAGAAUGAACGCUAAUAGUAUGCAUUACACAUGCAAGUUGAACGGUAAAUUUUUAUCGUGGCGAACGGGUGAGGAAUAUACAGACUGCUACCUUUUAGUUUAGAACAACAAGAAUUUAUUUUGUAAAUUCUUAAAUUCUAAAUAAUUUUCAAAAGGUUAAUUUUUUCCGCUAAAAGAUGGGUUUGUAUAAGAUUAGGUAGUUGGUAAAUUUUAAAGCUUACCAAGCCAUUGAUCUUUAGUUGGUCUUAGAGGAUGAUCAACCACACUGGAACUGAAAUAAGGUCCAGGCUAAAUUUUUGGCCAGCAGUGAGGAAUAUUGGACUCAAUGAACGAAAGUUUGAUCCAGCAAUACUAUAUGAAUGAAGACGGCUUUAGUUGUAAAGUUCUUUGAUUAAGAAAUGAUAAAUGACAUUACUUAAAGUAGCUUAGUCCUGGCUAAUACUCGUGCCAGCAGUCGCGGUGAUACGGGAAGGGCAAGCGUUAUUCAUCAUAACUGGGCGUAAAGAGUCCGUAGACCGUAAAGUUAGUUACAAGUUUUAAAAAUUUAAAGCUUAACUUUAAAAUAGCUUGUAAUACUGCUUUACUUUGAGUUUUAUACAGAAGAGUAGAAUUUUAUAUGUAAGGGUAGAAUCUAAAAAUAUAUAAAGGAAUACCAAUAGCGAAGGCAACUCUUUGGUAAAAACUGACGUUGAGGGACGAAAGUUUAGGUAGCAAACAGGAUUAGAUACCCUAGUAGUCC